RNAcentral lists this ribosomal RNA (520 nucleotides) under uncultured bacterium. RNAcentral describes it as "bacterial SSU rRNA". It matches the Rfam family "Bacterial small subunit ribosomal RNA", at positions 50 to 564 of the family's 1533-position model. The record is from RNAcentral.
AAUACAUGCAAGUCGUACGGAUCAAAGCUGUAGCAAUACUGUUUUGGUUANUGGCGCACGGGUGAGUAACACGUGAGUAACAUGCCCUGCAGUGGGGAAUAGCCCAGGGAAACUUGGAUUAAUACCCCAUGGUAUCGCAAGAUUAAAGGUGGCCGCAAGGCUGUCGCUGCAGGAUUGGCUCGCGUCCUAUCAGCUAGUUGGUGAGGUAACGGCUCACCAAGGCUACGACGGGUACCUGGUCUGAGAGGACGAUCAGGCACACUGGAACUGAGGCACGGUCCAGACACCUACGGGUGGCAGCAGUCGAGAAUAAUUCACAAUGGGGGAAACCCUGAUGGUGCAACGCCGCGUGGAGGAUGAAGGUCUUCGGAUUGUAAACUCCUGUCAUCUGGGAGUAAGACCUGGUCGUGAAUAGCGGACAGGGUUGAUAGUACCAGAAGAGGAAGGGACGGCUAACUUCGUGCCAGCAGCCGCGGUAAUACGAANGUCCCAAGCGUUGUUCGGAAUCACUGGGCGUAAA